UUUAUUUACUUUAUCCUGUAGAAAAUUCCCUCCAAAGUAAUCUACAGCAACAGAGUGCAGUACAAUACCACAAGUUUUCCAGCCAAAUGCGAAAAUUCCACACCUUUAUCACGAGGAAAUCUGCAAUGGCAUUUAGGAAUGACAAAUAGAAGCUCAACUAUUCGAAGCAGGAGACCGAAGAGAAAAAAGGAAGAGAGAUGAUAUUACAGCUGCAGAAAAGGAAAUAAUUGAAA
Molecule: long non-coding RNA, 233 nt
Organism: Stegodyphus dumicola
Lineage: Eukaryota; Metazoa; Arthropoda; Arachnida; Araneae; Eresidae
Source: RefSeq, a predicted model, not a curated record